RNAcentral lists this ribosomal RNA (253 nucleotides) under uncultured bacterium. RNAcentral describes it as "partial 16S ribosomal RNA". It matches the Rfam family "Bacterial small subunit ribosomal RNA", at positions 524 to 776 of the family's 1533-position model. The record is from RNAcentral.
UACAGAGGGUGCGAGCGUUGUCCGGAAUCACUGGGCGUAAAGCGCACGUAGGCGGACUCUUAAGUCGGUGGUGAAAUCCUGGAGCUCAACUCCAGAACUGCCUUCGAUACUGGGAGUCUCGAGUCCGGGAGAGGUGAGUGGAACUGCGAGUGUAGAGGUGAAAUUCGUAGAUAUUCGCAAGAACACCAGUGGCGAAGGCGGCUCACUGGCCCGAUACUGACGCUGAGGCACGAAAGCGUGGGGAGCAAACAGG